This 858-nucleotide long non-coding RNA is filed under the name Rattus norvegicus (Norway rat). Its description in RNAcentral is "long non-coding RNA NONRATT022699". Lineage: Eukaryota; Metazoa; Chordata; Mammalia; Rodentia; Muridae. The record is from RNAcentral.
CUACAACGCCGCCACGCCGGAGCGGCAAACACUUCUUAAGUCUUCUUAUUUUCCGAGUCCAAACUUCUUGGCCUCUUUCUCAGGAAAACUGCGACCAGGAUGUGGAAUAGCGGAUUCGAAAGCUUCAGCAGCUCCUCCUAUGGCGCAGCGGGCGGCUACACGCAGUCCCCCGGUGGCUUCGGGUCACCCACACCGUCGCAGGCAGAGAAGAAAUCAGUCACUAUUGUGGGAAUAAUCAGACAUGCAGAGAAAGCGCCAACCAACAUUGUCUACAAAAUAGACGACAUGACCGCAGCGCCCAUGGACGUUCGCCAGUGGGUUGACACAGAUGUAAGUGUCUGCUCCUGGAUCCAAGUGGGGCUUUGGAUGUUUUAGCCUUCUAAAGGUUUUCUUUGGUGUAAAAAUUCAUAAUCAAGGGCUGGAGAGAUGGCUCAGUGGUUAAGAGCACCCGACUACUCUUCCAGAGGUCCUGAGUUCAAUUCCCAGCAACCACAUGGUGGCUCACAACCAUCUGUAAAGAGAUCCGAUUCCCUCUUCUGGUGUAUCUGAAGACAGCUACAGUGUACUUAUAUAUAAUAAAUGAAUAAAUCUUUAAAAAAAAAUUCAUAAUCAAGAUACCAAAGGUUAAAAACCAAUAAAGUGAGAGCUUAAUAGAUUUGACCACAUAAAAAUUUAAAACCACCUAAAAUACUGUGUAAGAGAGUAGAAAGUAAAUUCUCUAAGAAAGAUUUUUCUCUUGGUUGCUCUCUUCCCCAUUACCUAGAGUGGUGCCCACCACACAGUGGCCUUGAGUAAGUAAAUACUGUUAAGUGAGUGGGAAGCGUACUUUGAUGGGUUCCAUCACUUUAUAAAGAGCUC